AUACAUCAAUUUUGUAUGCCCUCGUGAUAAAUUUCCCCCUGAAGUUUCUAGAGCGCACUGAUUUUAGGACCUUCUAUACAAAGAGAAAUCUGAUGCUCUAGAAUUUGUGUAUGAAGAUUUCUUUAAUAACAAUCGCGAAUAUAAUUAUAUUCUUCAAUUAAGUAAUGAUAAUGUAAUAUUGCAUCCUAUCAUUUACAAUCAGAUAGACAGGUGACCUUAAGUAUAAGGUUUCAAGCUAUUUAACGCUCAAUACUUGUUAUAUAAUUCUCCGUGGUAACAUCAACUGAGUUGGGCAUCAUAAUUGGCACUGAACAUCCAAAGUUAAGUUAGUGCUCACCAUUUCACGAUUAUAUUUUUGGUACUGAUAUUUUCAUAUUUCCAGUUCGUUGAAGAUAGAGGUCUGGCAUUGUAUUGAAGCUCAACUCCGCACGAAAGUGUACAACUUCACAGUUAUGUUCUGGCACUUGAAUUUGCUAUGCUUUUCAUGCAAGGAAUUUCAUGCUAGGAAUACUUACACGUUCAUUCUUAAAUCAUCUUGUUAUAUGGCAUUGUAGAUCUGAUGGAAAAGAACUUUGGUGAUAUAGGCCAGGGCGGAGGACGUUGUCAAUGGAAAACAUGGCUCCACAUGAAGGUUCACUUGCCAAUAGUCUUCAAGAAGAUGCGAAGGUCAUGGUUUUGUGUUGAUGACCCUUGAAAAAAUACCUUCUCAUUUUCUUGUUUGAAGGAACGCUAGGAGGAAUUGAGGAUGCGAAAAAUGUACGGAGGAAAGGGAGACUAGGAGAGGUGCACGGUGAGGCAUUGACGAAUCCUAAAAAGAGAAACUUUUGUCACGGUGUUCUCAUAUCCAAACUUGAAUCAAGUAUGCUUUUUGAAUGGCUUGCACUAAAGCAGAUUAUAAUUCUUAUACUUGUGUUUUGAAUUGACUACAUGUUGUCGUCUCCUCUUGUAUACAUCUUCUGUAUCUACGAUUUUGUGAUGGGUUGUUAAGCUACCAUUCAAGGGAAUGCAUGUUGACAAAUGUAUUGAUGCUUCCUUGAGUCUACUAAUAAUAUAUUUGUAAUGUAUUUUUCACUGAAAAAAGCACCACUAAUAGCACGCUGUAGAAUUUUCUAGCUAAAUAAAUCAAUGUACACUGCCUCGCUAAUAGAAUGCCAUAGUGCGAUAUAGCAU
RNAcentral lists this long non-coding RNA (1170 nucleotides) under Triticum aestivum (bread wheat). Its description in RNAcentral is "long non-coding RNA (TAES_LNC020705)". Lineage: Eukaryota; Viridiplantae; Streptophyta; Magnoliopsida; Poales; Poaceae. The record is from RNAcentral.